CGGACGGGUGAGUAAUGCCUAGGAAUCUGCCUGGUAGUGGGGGACAACGUUUCGAAAGGAACGCUAAUACCGCAUACGUCCUACGGGAGAAAGCAGGGGACCUUCGGGUCUUGCGCUAUCAGAUGAGCCUAGGUCGGAUUAGCUAGUUGGUGAGGUAAUGGCUCACCAAGGCGACGAUCCGUAACUGGUCUGAGAGGAUGAUCAGUCACACUGGAACUGAGACACGGUCCAG
RNAcentral lists this ribosomal RNA (232 nucleotides) under uncultured Pseudomonadales bacterium. RNAcentral's name for it is "partial 16S ribosomal RNA". It matches the Rfam family "Bacterial small subunit ribosomal RNA", at positions 99 to 334 of the family's 1533-position model. The record is from RNAcentral. Lineage: Bacteria; Pseudomonadati; Pseudomonadota; Gammaproteobacteria; Pseudomonadales.